Molecule: unclassified non-coding RNA, 328 nt
Filed under: soil metagenome
Description: partial contains 5.8S ribosomal RNA, internal transcribed spacer 2, and large subunit ribosomal RNA
Rfam family: 5.8S ribosomal RNA (bases 1-120)
Source: RNAcentral
GAUGAAGAACGUAGUGAAAUGCGAUAAGUAAUGUGAAUUGCAGAAUUCAGUGAAUCAUCGAAUCUUUGAACGCACAUUGCGCCCCCUGGUAUUCCGGGGGGCAUGCCUGUCCGAGCGUCAUUACAACCCUCAAGCUCAGCUUGGUAUUGGGCCCCGCCGCUCCGGCGGGCCCUAAAGUCAGUGGCGGUGCCGUCCGGCUCCGAGCGUAGUAAUUCUUCUCGCUCUGGAGGUCCGGUCGUGUGCUCGCCAGCAACCCCCAAUUUUUUUCAGGUUGACCUCGGAUCAGGUAGGGAUACCCGCUGAACUUAAGCAUAUCAUAAGCGGAGGA